AUUCUGCUUUGGAAUUAAUUCAGCUCUCCAGCACAUGCAUAGCAGCUUUCUCAGCUUCCAUCACCCCAAGGACCUUCACAAACUACGAAGUACUGUUGAAGUGUAAUCGCAGCUGCAAGACUGGUGUUGAGUAUUAGAAAUAAGAGUCUCGGUCCAAAACAUUGGAACUUUUCCUCUCCACAGAUGCUGCCUGACCUGCUGUGUGAUCCUCAGACACUUCAGCAUUUGGUGGAAAGCAAUCAAGAUGGUGGAAUACUGCAUAAUACCCCAAAGGACAUCAUGAGGAUCAUGUUUCUUGCUUUGUGGCUACCUGUAAGCAAACAAAUCUCAAGGUUGUCUAAUUUAUACAUUCUUUGAUAAUAAAUAUACUUUGAACUUUGAAUUGUGGGUGGAGUGAGAGGGGAGUUGGGGUAACUGGGGUAGAGGAUCCUGCUGACAGAAAAACAUGCAUUUCUGCAACGUAACAAAAUGACAGGAACAUACAUUCUAUCUCUUUUAUAUUGUGUUUGCUUAACCUUUACAUUGAAACCUGAAACCACAUAGAUAAGAAGAACUGGUUCCAGAGAUCAUGGCCAUUGGGAGUGUGAGAGUGUGAAUGUAUUCUUGCCUGACGUAAGAACGUUAAUGAACUGAUUCUGUCGUGAAUGAUGAGGU
Molecule: long non-coding RNA, 654 nt
Organism: Hypanus sabinus (Atlantic stingray)
Lineage: Eukaryota; Metazoa; Chordata; Chondrichthyes; Myliobatiformes; Dasyatidae
Exons: 4
Source: RefSeq, a predicted model, not a curated record